Molecule: long non-coding RNA, 213 nt
Filed under: Elaeis guineensis (African oil palm)
Lineage: Eukaryota; Viridiplantae; Streptophyta; Magnoliopsida; Arecales; Arecaceae
Description: long non-coding RNA (EGUI_LNC040891)
Source: RNAcentral
CAUACUUCUGCCUAUAAAUAAAGAUCCACGGAGGAUGUCAAGGUAUGAUUUCUUUUUUCUAUAUGCUCAUUCUUUCUCUUUGUUGUUUAGAUUUCUGACCUGAGCGUCGGAGGAUCUCUAUUGGAGCCACCUCCGAUCAGAUACUCUUCUUAUAGAUCUUGACAUUGCAGGAACCUCGCCGACGUACUGUCAUGUUCAACUUCAGUUAAUCCA